AUUGAACGCUGGCGGCAGGCCUAACACAUGCAAGUCGAGCGGAUGAAGGGAGCUUGCUCCUGGAUUCAGCGGCGGACGGGUGAGUAAUGCCUAGGAAUCUGCCUGGUAGUGGGGGAUAACGUCCGGAAACGGGCGCUAAUACCGCAUACGUCCUGAGGGUGAAAGUGGGGGAUCUUCGGACCUCACGCUAUCAGAUGAGCCUAGGUCGGAUUAGCUAGUUGGUGGGGUAAAGGCCUACCAAGGCGACGAUCCGUAACUGGUCUGAGUGGAUGAUCAGUCACACUGGAACUGAGACACGGUCCAGACGCCUACGGGAGGCAGCAGUGGGGAAUAUUGGACAAUGGGCGAAAGCCUGCUCCAGCCAUGCCGCGUGUGUGAAGAAGGUCUUCGGAUUGUAAAGCACUUUAAGUUGGGAGGAAGGGCAGUAAGUUAAUACCUUGCUGUUUUGACGUUACCAACAGAAUAAGCACCGGCUAACUUCGUG
RNAcentral lists this ribosomal RNA (484 nucleotides) under uncultured bacterium. RNAcentral's name for it is "partial 16S ribosomal RNA". It matches the Rfam family "Bacterial small subunit ribosomal RNA", at positions 30 to 507 of the family's 1533-position model. The record is from RNAcentral.